Nerophis ophidion (straightnose pipefish) is the source of this 601-nucleotide long non-coding RNA. RefSeq lists it as uncharacterized. The record is from RefSeq and is a predicted model, not a curated record. The transcript is spliced from 3 exons. Lineage: Eukaryota; Metazoa; Chordata; Actinopteri; Syngnathiformes; Syngnathidae.
GUUAAUACUUGCUGAGGCCCCACACACGGCAAGUGUGUCGAGAGGAUAAAGUUCAUCAUGUUUUCUUAACAUUUUUGUAAAGGACUCUUCCGUGCAGACAAAGACAACAAUAUUUUACCAAGGGUGUUGGGAGGAUGUUUCUACAUGGGGGAUGUGACCGAGGCUGCUAUGAGACCCUGAAGUCCACCGUCAGCUCGCUGGCACCGCCUCUUCCUGGAGGUGUAGCUUUGCUUUUGCAAAUGUGGAAGGCUCUCGAGCCAGAUGGGGCUCUUUUGAUGACAGCUUCUGGCUCUCAGAUAAAUCUUAGCUGGCGUUGCUUAACACGAUAAGUCAUUAAUAAUUCUGCUGGUAAUCACAGUUUUAAAAAUAGCGUUCAAAAUAUAAAACAUUCUCAUGCAUUUGAAUCCAUCCAUCCUUUUCUAUCGCACCUGUUCAAGAAGUCGCAUUAAUGGUCAAAAGUAUUUGAUUUAUUAUUGGUUAGCUUCAGAAUAACAAUGUUAUUAAAAACAAUAAAAGAUGCACGCAUUUUUUUGUUGUAACCAGGGAAAGUCCAAAUAAAAGAGGAGGCAUAGAAUUCUCUUGUCAGAGUAUGGGUGUACAA